Molecule: ribosomal RNA, 253 nt
Filed under: uncultured bacterium
Lineage: Bacteria
Description: partial 16S ribosomal RNA
Rfam family: Bacterial small subunit ribosomal RNA
Source: RNAcentral
UACGUAGGGUGCAAGCGUUGUUCGGAAUCACUGGGCGUAAAGCGCGUGUAGGCGGUUUGGCAAGUCGGAUGUGAAAGCCCUGGGCUUAACCUAGGAAGUGCAUCCGAAACUACUUUGCUUGAGGGCAGUAGAGGGAGGUGGAAUUCCUGGUGUAGAGGUGAAAUUCGUAGAUAUCAGGAGGAAUACCGGUGGCGAAGGCGGCCUCCUGGGCUGAUCCUGACGCUGAGAUGCGAAAGCAUGGGGAGCAAACAGG